RNAcentral lists this ribosomal RNA (497 nucleotides) under uncultured bacterium. RNAcentral's name for it is "partial 16S ribosomal RNA". It matches the Rfam family "Bacterial small subunit ribosomal RNA", at positions 28 to 507 of the family's 1533-position model. The record is from RNAcentral.
GAUGAACGCUGGCGGCGUGCCUAAUACAUGCAAGUCGAGCGAACAGGCGAGGAGCUUGCUCCUCUGACGUUAGCGGCGGACGGGUGAGUAACACGUGGAUAACCUACCUAUAAGACUGGGAUAACUUCGGGAAACCGGAGCUAAUACCGGAUAAUAUAUUGAACCGCAUGGUUCAAUAGUGAAAGACGGUUUUGCUGUCACUUAUAGAUGGAUCCGCGCCGCAUUAGCUAGUUGGUAAGGUAACGGCUUACCAAGGCAACGAUGCGUAGCCGACCUGAGAGGGUGAUCGGCCACACUGGAACUGAGACACGGUCCAGACUCCUACGGGAGGCAGCAGUAGGGAAUCUUCCGCAAUGGGCGAUAGCCUGACGGAGCAACGCCGCGUGAGUGAUGAAGGUCUUCGGAUCGUAAAACUCUGUUAUUAGGGAAGAACAAAUGUGUAAGUAACUAUGCACGUCUUGACGGUACCUAAUCAGAAAGCCACGGCUAACUACGUG